This 493-nucleotide ribosomal RNA is filed under the name uncultured bacterium. Its description in RNAcentral is "partial 16S ribosomal RNA". It matches the Rfam family "Bacterial small subunit ribosomal RNA", at positions 28 to 506 of the family's 1533-position model. The record is from RNAcentral.
GACGAACGCUGGCGGCGUGCUUAACACAUGCAAGUCGAACGGUGAAGCGCCUUCCUUUUUGGUGGGUGUGGAUGAGUGGCGAACGGGUGAGUAACACGUGAGUAACCUGCCCCCUUCUUCUGGAUAACCGCAUGAAAGGGUGGCUAAUACGGGAUAUUCUGGGUCUGUCGCAUGAUGGGUCUGGGAAAGAUAUUGUUUCGGUUGGGGAUGGGCUCGGGGCCUAUCAGCUUGUUGGUGGGGUGGUGGCCUACCAAGGCGGUGGCGGGUAGCGGGAGUGAGAGGGUGGACGGUCACACUGGGACUGAGACACGGCCCCGACUCCGACGGGAGGGAACGGCGGCGGAUGGUGCAAAAUGGGAACAAGCCUGAUGCAGCGGCGGCGAGUGAGGGAUGGGGGCCUUCGGGUUGUGAAUCUCUUUCGCUAGUGAAGCAGGCCUGCCUUGUUUGUGGGUGGGUUGACGGUAGCUGGAUAAGAAGCGCCGGCUAACUACGU